CAGCAGCCACGGUAAUACCGAGGUCCCGAGCGUUGUUCGGAUUCACUGGGCGUAAAAGGUGUGUAGGAGGUUGGAUAAGUCAGGUGUGAAAUCCCGCAGCUCAACUGCGGAACUGCAUUCGAUACUGUUCAACUAGAGGAUCGGAGGGGGAAGCGGAAUUCUUGGUGUAGCGGUGAAAUGCGUAGAUAUCAAGAGGAACACCGGUGGCGAAGGCGGCUUCCUGGAAGAUACCUGACUCUGAAACACGAAAGCCAGGGGAGCGAAUGGGAUUAGAUACCCCGGUAGUCCCUGUCUCUUAUAA
RNAcentral lists this ribosomal RNA (301 nucleotides) under uncultured bacterium. Its description in RNAcentral is "partial 16S ribosomal RNA". It matches the Rfam family "Bacterial small subunit ribosomal RNA", at positions 509 to 809 of the family's 1533-position model. The record is from RNAcentral.